CUUGAGUUUGACUUAACCACGUUACCUUGUAUCUGAACACAGCAUCCAGUGGUAUAUUAGUUCAUACUUGUUUGACCAAAUAAUUGAAAGGAUAUGCUGAUGUUGACACAAAAAGUUCAGCCUAUAAAAAAACAUGUGGACAUGUUAUCUUACAUUUCAUCCUCACUCAGUACAUCUCGUUUCGUUCGUCUUAACAAACCAAUGUAACAUAUUUGGAUGUAUCCGUUUUCAUCUCUCGAAGACUGUGGUGGAGAAUCCAACAAUGCAGACCAUGGAUAUUGAUGAUGACACGUCUCCCAACAAGCCCAGUGUUACAUUUUCAGUACAUUUUCAGUGGUGGAAGAGACCCUCUGGAGUUGCUGCAGUGUGUCUGGGGCUGCUGUGUGUUAUCCUACUGGCUGGGCUCAUAGGCCUGUUUGUCUACUGUAAGUAGGUAAACAUGGAGUCAACGAUCAUCACUACACAACAGAGACCAACAUGCCAAUUACAGCCUUCUGACUAAAGAAGGAGAUCGGCAACCCACCAGCUGUCUUAACUUGACUAAAGAGGGAGACCAGUUUCAAAAAGAGAAAGACCUGCUACAGACAAGUUACAACACCCUGACUAAAGAGAGAGACCAGUUUCAAAAAGAGAAAGACCUGCUACAGACAAGUUACAACACCCUGACUAAAGAGAGAGACCAGCUACAGAACAGUAACAACAACCUGACUAAAGAGAGAGAUGAGAUACAGACCAGCUACAACACCCUGACAGAAGAGAGAGACCAGCUACAGAAUACUCUCACAACCACAACUAAAGACAGAGACCAGUUGCACAAUACUCUCAUCACAAUAACUCGGCAGAGAGACCAGCUACAGAAUAGUCUAAAUACCAGGACCACUGAGAGAGACCAGCUACAGAAUAGUCUAAAUACCAGGACCACUGAGAGAGACCAGCUACAGAAUAGUCUAAAUACCAGGACCACUGAGAGAGACCAGCUACAGAAUAGCCUAAAUACCAGGACGACAGAGAGAGACCAACUACAAGAUAGUCUCACCACAAGCACCAAAGAUAGAGACCAGCAUCAAA
Molecule: long non-coding RNA, 1068 nt
Organism: Salmo salar (Atlantic salmon)
Lineage: Eukaryota; Metazoa; Chordata; Actinopteri; Salmoniformes; Salmonidae
Source: RefSeq, a predicted model, not a curated record